GACGGAAGGUGCAAGCGUUGCUCGGAAUCACUGGGCGUAAAGGGUGCGUAGGCGGCCGUGCAAAUCUGGCGUGAAAGCCCCGGGCUCAGCCCGGGAAGUGCGCUCGAAACUGCGCGGCUCGAGUGCCGGAGGGGAGAGUGGAAUUCCUGGUGUAGCGGUGAAAUGCGUAGAUAUCAGGAGGAAUACCGGUGGCGAAAGCGACUCUCUGGACGGCAACUGACGCUGAGGCACGAAAGCGUGGGGAGCAAACAGG
This 253-nucleotide ribosomal RNA is filed under the name uncultured bacterium. RNAcentral's name for it is "partial 16S ribosomal RNA". It matches the Rfam family "Bacterial small subunit ribosomal RNA", at positions 524 to 776 of the family's 1533-position model. The record is from RNAcentral.